RNAcentral lists this ribosomal RNA (253 nucleotides) under uncultured bacterium. RNAcentral describes it as "partial 16S ribosomal RNA". It matches the Rfam family "Bacterial small subunit ribosomal RNA", at positions 524 to 776 of the family's 1533-position model. The record is from RNAcentral.
UACGUAGGGGGCUAGCGUUGUCCGGAAUCAUUGGGCGUAAAGAGCGUGUAGGCGGUCCGGUAAGUCCGCUGUGAAAGUCGGGGGCUCAACCCUCGAAUGCCGGUGGAUACUGUCGGGCUAGAGUACGGAAGAGGCGAGUGGAAUUCCCGGUGUAGCGGUGAAAUGCGCAGAUAUCGGGAGGAACACCAAUGGCGAAGGCAGCUCGCUGGGACGGUACUGACGCUGAGGCGCGAAAGCGUGGGGAGCAAACAGG